AUCUAAGGUGGAGAGUGGCGCACGGGUGAGUAACACAUGGCUGACCUGCCUCUCAGAGGGGGACAAGCGGUGGAAACGCCGGCUAAUACCCCAUGCUUGCGUCCUGGGUUAGAGGCCGGAUGCAGAAAGGCCGAGGCGCUGAUGGAGGGGGCUGUGGACCAUCAGCUAGUUGGUAGGGUAACGGUCUACCAAUGCGAGGACGGAUAGGGGGCCUGAGAGGGUGACCCCCCACACGGGCACUGAGACACGGGCCCGACUCCUACGGGAGGCAGCAGUAAGGGAUAUUGCGACAAUGGGCGAAAGCCUGACGCAGCAACGCCGCGUGGAGGAUGAAGGCCUUCGGGUUGUAAACUCCUUUUCUGUGGGAAGAGGAAGGACGGUACCACAGGAAGAAGUCUCGGCUAACUACUUGCCAGCAGCCGCGGUGAAACGUAGGAGGCGAGCGUUAUCCGGAUUUACUGGGUGUAAAGCGCGUGCAGGCGGCUUGGUAAGUCGAGCGUGAAAGCUCCCGGCUCAACCGGGAGAGGACGUGCGAAACUGCGAGGCUAGAGACAGGUAGAGGCGUACGGAAUUCCGGGUGUAGUGGUGAAAUGCGUAGAUAUCCGGAGGAACACCAGUGGCGAAGGCGGUACGCUGGGCCUGGUCUGACGCUAAGACGCGAAAGCAUGGGGAGCGAACGGGAUUAGAAACCCCGGUAGUCCAUGCCGUAAACGAUGCGAACUAGGUGUUGCGGGUAAAAGACCGGCAGUGCCGGAGUUAACGCGAUAAGUUAGCCACCUGGGGACUACGGUCGCAAGGCUAAAACUCAAAGGAAUUGACGGAGGCCCGCACAAGCAGUGGAGUAUGUGGUUUAAUUCGAAGCAACGCGAAGAACCUUACCAGGGCUUGACAUCCCUCGGAUAACAUAGAGAUAUGUUAGUCCUUCGGGACGAGGAGACAGUUGGUGCAUGGUUGUCGUCAGCUCGUGUCGUGAGAUGUUGGGUUAAGUCCCGCAACGAGCGCAACCCCUAUUGUUAGUUGCCAUCAUUAAGUUGGGCACUCUAACGAGACUGCCGGUGACAAAUCGGAGGAAGGUGGGGACGACGUCAAAUCAUCAUGCCCCUUAUGUCCUGGGCUACACACGUAAUACAAUGGUCACUACAAAGGGAAGCAAUACCGCAAGGAGGAGCAAAUCCCCAAAGGUGACCUCAGUUCGGAUUGUGGGCUGAAACCCGCCCACAUGAAGUCGGAAUUGCUAGUAAUGGCAGGUCAGCAUACUGUCGUGAUACGUUCCCGGGCCUUGUACACACCGCCCGUCACACCAUGAGAGUUCGCUACACCCGAAGUCAGUAGCUUA
This 1336-nucleotide ribosomal RNA is filed under the name uncultured organism. RNAcentral's name for it is "partial 16S ribosomal RNA". It matches the Rfam family "Bacterial small subunit ribosomal RNA", at positions 81 to 1437 of the family's 1533-position model. The record is from RNAcentral.